GAUGAACGCUGGCGGCGUGCCUAAUACAUGCAAGUCGAGCGCACGGACGAUAAGCUAGCUUCCUUGAUGUUAGCGGCGGACGGGCGAGUAACACAUGGAUAAGCAACUAAUAUGACUGGGAGAACUGCGGGAAACCGGAGCUAAUAACCGAUGAUAUUAUGAACCGCAUGAUUCAAAGGUGAUUGACGGUAUUGCUGACUCUUAUAGCUGGAUCCGCGAUGCAUUAGCUAGUUGGUAAGGUAACGGCUAACCAAGGCAACGAUGCAUAGCAGACCUGAGAGGGUGAUCGGCCACACUGGAACUGGGACACGGUCCAGACUCCUACGGGAGGCGGCAGUGGGGAAUUUUGGGCAAGGGGCGAAAGCCUGACGGAGCAACGCCGCGUGGGUGAGGAAGGUCUUCGGUUCUUAAAACUCUUUUUUUGGGGAAGAAGAGAUGUAGAGUUAACUGUGCACAUCUUGACGGUACCUAAUCAGAAAGCCACGGCUAACUACGUG
This 497-nucleotide ribosomal RNA is filed under the name uncultured bacterium. RNAcentral's name for it is "partial 16S ribosomal RNA". It matches the Rfam family "Bacterial small subunit ribosomal RNA", at positions 28 to 507 of the family's 1533-position model. The record is from RNAcentral.